CGGCAACAGCUCAAAUUUGAAAUCUGGCCCUCGGGUCCGAGUUGUAAUUUGCAGAGGAUGCUUUUGGCGAGGUGCCUUCCGAGUUCCCUGGAACGGGACGCCAUAGAGGGUGAGAGCCCCGUCCGGUCGUGUCACCAAGCCUCUGUAAAGCUCCUUCGAC
This 160-nucleotide ribosomal RNA is filed under the name Chlamydocillium curvulum. RNAcentral's name for it is "Kiflimonium curvulum partial large subunit ribosomal RNA". It matches the Rfam family "Eukaryotic large subunit ribosomal RNA", at positions 99 to 261 of the family's 3401-position model. Lineage: Eukaryota; Fungi; Ascomycota; Sordariomycetes; Hypocreales. The record is from RNAcentral.